RNAcentral lists this transfer RNA (66 nucleotides) under Longchuanacris curvifurcula. RNAcentral describes it as "Longchuanacris curvifurculus tRNA-Gly". Lineage: Eukaryota; Metazoa; Arthropoda; Insecta; Orthoptera; Acrididae. The record is from RNAcentral.
GUUUUUCUAGUAUAAUUAGUACACCUAACUUCCAAUUAGAAAGAUUGAUAUUUAUCAAGCAAAACA